UACGUAGGGUGCGAGCGUUGUCUGGAAUUAUUGGGCGUAAAGGGCUCGUAGGCGGUCUGUCGCGUCGGGAGUGAAAACUCAGGGCUUAACCCUGAGCCUGCUUCCGAUACGGGCAGACUAGAGGUAUGCAGGGGAGAACGGAAUUCCUGGUGUAGCGGUGGAAUGCGCAGAUAUCAGGAGGAACACCGGUGGCGAAGGCGGUUCUCUGGGCAUUACCUGACGCUGAGGAGCGAAAGUGUGGGGAGCGAACAGG
RNAcentral lists this ribosomal RNA (253 nucleotides) under uncultured bacterium. Its description in RNAcentral is "partial 16S ribosomal RNA". It matches the Rfam family "Bacterial small subunit ribosomal RNA", at positions 524 to 776 of the family's 1533-position model. The record is from RNAcentral.